GCCCGGUUAGCUCAGUCGGUAGAGCAGGGGAUUGAAAAUCCCCGUGUCGGUGGUUCGAUUCCGCCACCGGGCACCA
This 76-nucleotide transfer RNA is filed under the name Dasania marina. It matches the Rfam family "tRNA". From Rfam's summary of the family: Transfer RNA (tRNA) molecules are approximately 80 nucleotides in length. Their secondary structure includes four short double-helical elements and three loops (D, anti-codon, and T loops). RNAcentral also lists the same sequence under 7 other names. Lineage: Bacteria; Pseudomonadati; Pseudomonadota; Gammaproteobacteria; Cellvibrionales; Spongiibacteraceae. The record is from RNAcentral.